ACGGGAGGCAGCAGUGAGGAAUAUUGGUCAAUGGACGGAAGUCUGAACCAGCCAAGUCGCGUGAGGGAUGAAGGCCCUACGGGUUGUAAACCUCUUUUGCCGGGGGAUAAACCUGACCACGCGUGGUCAGCUGAAGGUGCCCGGUGAAUAAGCAUCGGCUAACUCCGUGCCAGCAGCCGCGGUAAUACGGAGGAUGCGAGCGUUAUCCGGAUUUACUGGGUGUAAAGGGCGCGUAGGCGGGGAUGCAAGUCAGGUGUGAAAUCUAUGGGCUUAACUCAUAAACUGCAUUUGAAACUGUAUCUCUUGAGUGCUGGAGAGGUAGAUGGAAUUCCUUGUGUAGCGGUGAAAUGCGUAGAUAUAAGGAAGAACACCAGUGGCGAAGGCGAUCUACUGGACAGUAACUGACGCUGAGGCGCGAAAGCGUGGGGAGCAAACAGGAUUAGAUACCCUGGUA
This is a ribosomal RNA of 454 nucleotides. It matches the Rfam family "Bacterial small subunit ribosomal RNA", at positions 341 to 792 of the family's 1533-position model.